This 68-nucleotide transfer RNA is filed under the name Salpa fusiformis. RNAcentral describes it as "tRNA-Gln". The record is from RNAcentral. Lineage: Eukaryota; Metazoa; Chordata; Thaliacea; Salpida; Salpidae.
AUAUCACUAGUUUAAUUUAGAACAUUAUCUUUUGAUGAUAAAAGAAAGAAAACUUUUCUUGUAAUAUA